GGGGGUAUAGCUCAGUGGUAGAGUGUUUGACUGCUCAUCAAGUUGUCCUUGGCUCAAAUCCAAGUGCCCCCU
Molecule: non-coding RNA, 72 nt
Organism: Gopherus flavomarginatus (Mexican gopher tortoise)
Lineage: Eukaryota; Metazoa; Chordata; Testudines; Testudinidae
Source: the annotation of a RefSeq genome assembly